RNAcentral lists this long non-coding RNA (1209 nucleotides) under Olea europaea subsp. europaea. Lineage: Eukaryota; Viridiplantae; Streptophyta; Magnoliopsida; Lamiales; Oleaceae. The record is from RNAcentral.
AAAAGACUAAGCAAAUAUCUACUGAACUACUGUCUCUGCAUUCCAUUAUACUAUGCAAGAAGAUGAAUGACAUCUGGUCUGGGUAAAGCCAGAAAUUUCUGCAACAAUAACAUAACUGUUGGGUUUUGAUAUCCAAUAAAUCCCCGAGCAAUAAUGUUACUCAUUGGAAUUUCAGUCAAUAUUGAUGACCGAGUUAAAUAUUGACAUCUCAAUGAAAAAACUAGACACAAAUACUAUUUGGAGUCAUUGGAAGCAACCUAAUUUAAUUAGAGUUGCUCGUGGCCCAAUCCGUUCACUUCCUGGAGGCUUAUGAGAGUUGGCCCAUUAAUUAUCCUACUUGGCCAACUUACUGGUUUUGGACUUGGCUCAUUAAUAUGCCUUAUAUUAGCCUAUAUAUGCUGUAUUCUUUGCUUGGUUAUUGACGUGCUAUUGCUUGGCUUUCCUCACUUGGUGAAACUGAUUCUUUUUCUUUGCUUUGUGCUAUAGCUGGUUUUUCUCCUCCUCUUACCUUUGUGGCUGGUAUAACAUCAUCUAUUUUGUGUCCUUUGUGGGUACAACCAAGCAAUCGAGAUAUUGGUGAAUAACAGUAGGUUUAGGCGUUGAUUUGGGAGGUUUGGUAAAGUUGAGAUUGGUAACCUAAGCUUGGAAAAUCAUCGAUCUCGAAGAACUUCCAAAACAGAUGAUAUCAAAGGCUGCUGGUGUGUGAGCUUCAACAAAAAAUCAACCAGGAACUGAUCUAAAAAUAGUAGAAAAAGGUUGAAGAAGAAGCUGUCUAGAUCAAAAUCAAUCUAACUAGAUCUAUUUUUUUUGGUUAAACCACUUACUUGUUGGAUAAAUAGAGGCCACUGAUGUAUUCAGUAGAUCGAGAUGCAUUGUGUGGCUCAUGAUCAACUAUGACGAGAUAGACCUUGCUGUGGAGUUCGUUUUCAGUUUUGAGGGCCACGAUAACAUUUAGACAUUUUACCCUUACGCGUUAGGAGUUGACUCUUGCUUGAUUGGUUGUUAUAAUUGCAGGAGACUUUAGAGAAAAUAGUGGUGGCCUUAAAGCAGUAAAUUUGCAUAUCUCAUUAUUUUAAGGACCACAGAUUGGUCAGCUCUGGCAUAUUGACUUAUCUCGUUUAAAUUCCAACAUUAGUAAGUCGUCAUGUGGAAUGACAUUAGGAUUGUGGUUAUCAUGUGGGAUAACCAUUGCUUGUCCUAAAAUUUAAG